RNAcentral lists this ribosomal RNA (458 nucleotides) under uncultured bacterium. RNAcentral's name for it is "partial 16S ribosomal RNA". It matches the Rfam family "Bacterial small subunit ribosomal RNA", at positions 338 to 795 of the family's 1533-position model. The record is from RNAcentral.
CCUACGGGGGGCAGCAGUGAGGAAUAUUGGUCAAUGGGCGAGAGCCUGAACCAGCCAAGUCGCGUGAGGGAGUACUGCCCUAUGGGUUGUAAACCUCUUUUGUCGGGGAGCAAAAGCCGGACGUGUCCGGCUGUGAGAGUACCCGAAGAAAAAGCAUCGGCUAACUCCGUGCCAGCAGCCGCGGUAAUACGGAGGAUGCGAGCGGUAUCCGGAUUUAUUGGGUUUAAAGGGUGCGCAGGCGGAUUUUUAAGUCAGCGGUAAAAUCGUGGGGCUCAACCCCAUCCAGCCGUUGAAACUGGGGAUCUAGAGUGUGCGAGAGGUAUGCGGAAUGCGUGGUGUAGCGGUGAAAUGCAUAGAUAUCACGCAGAACCCCGAUUGCGAAGGCAGCAUACCGGUGCACAACUGACGCUCAGGCACGAAAGCGUGGGUAUCGAACAGGAUUAGAUACCCCUGUAGUC